CAGUCGCCGCGGUAAUACGAAGGGGGCUAGCGUUGCUCGGAAUUACUGGGCGUAAAGGGCGCGUAGGCGGACAGUUUAGUCAGAGGUGAAAGCCCAGGGCUCAACCUUGGAAUUGCCUUUGAUACUGGCUGUCUUGAGUACGGGAGAGGUGUGUGGAACUCCGAGUGUAGAGGUGAAAUUCGUAGAUAUUCGGAAGAACACCGGUGGCGAAGGCGACACACUGGCCCGUUACUGACGCUGAGGCGCGAAAGCGUGGGGAGCAAACAGGAUUAGAUACCCGAGUAGUCCCUGUCUCUUAUAC
This 301-nucleotide ribosomal RNA is filed under the name uncultured bacterium. RNAcentral describes it as "partial 16S ribosomal RNA". It matches the Rfam family "Bacterial small subunit ribosomal RNA", at positions 509 to 807 of the family's 1533-position model. The record is from RNAcentral.